ACUUAAAUAGCUUAUAUUAGAGCGUGUCAUUGAAGAUGAUAAUGAGGUUAUUGAACCUUUGAGUA
Molecule: transfer RNA, 65 nt
Filed under: Neonemura barrosi
Lineage: Eukaryota; Metazoa; Arthropoda; Insecta; Plecoptera; Notonemouridae
Description: tRNA-Phe
Source: RNAcentral